RNAcentral lists this long non-coding RNA (1635 nucleotides) under Varroa destructor (honeybee mite). Its description in RNAcentral is "uncharacterized LOC111247128". Lineage: Eukaryota; Metazoa; Arthropoda; Arachnida; Mesostigmata; Varroidae. The record is from RNAcentral.
AUAUAAAUGCGACUGUGAGAGUUGGAUGGAGAAUGACGAGAUGGAGAGGAAAUAGUUAAGUUCAAUACGCGAUGCUUGAUGGUAAGAGAAAAUAUAAAACUUGAAAUAUCAAAAUUCAGGUGAGCCGAGUAAUAUUAGAGACGGUGGAAAGGCAAGUAAAAUCCAAGGCAAAUCUAAAGUAAUGUGGUUCAGCUCGUUACUUUCUUGGGUUUCUGCAAGGAAAACGUGUGUGCACAUGUCGUCACUAAAGUUGAGCCGAAGAUACGCAUUAAUUCGAACGGCUAUCGUUAUAUCGAAUCGUGCAUGAAAGAGAUGCUCAAAAUAGCUGCUGCAAACGAUAAAAGGUCACUGGAACGUCUUCUGGGGAAGCCAGUUUUUGGAUUGGGAUGCAACCGUUAGAUAUUAUCCACUCACAUUUAGUGAGUGAUGGACGAAAUUAAGGAACAAUUUUAUACUAACCAAACAAGAACUACAAGCAAACGUUGCGGAAAGAAAUAAAUGACGCAUGAUUUGUCAAUAGUUCAUUGUUAUUUAAUAACUGUGUAAAGAUUAUCACCAAUUAAGGGCAUCGAAUCCAGAAUAUGAAAGCCAGAGCAAUUACCCCAUAAACGGAGCUUUCAAGUCAGAACUUGUGGCUCUGACUAACAGAAGUAAUUUGUGUGAGCAAAUAUAUUUGGCAGCGUUCUGUAGUCAAGCAAAUCUACGUAUACAAUAGGAGAAUACAAUAUAGCAAUACGAGACAUACAAUAGGGUAACCUUAUGAAAAUAAGAGGACGCCAUGCAAGAUUGGCAUCCCUUGGCUCGCUUUGGGACUGCGUCUGCCAUUUGUCAAUAUAAGUUUACGCCAUGUUAGUGGGCUAGAAAUUAUGCAAGCCAUCGAAGAAGCCGAAAAUUGGCCAACGUAGAGCACAGGAAACCGUGAAAUGGAUCUUACAUAAGCAAAGCUACACAUAACAAUUAUUCACCAUGACGACAAAAUUAACACAGCCACGUUGGCCAGGCCGCAUUUAGCUGAUUCUAUUCUGACUGAGCUAUCUUUCUUAGACUGAGCUAUUCAAGAUUACGCUGCGACUUAACUAGGUACCGUCAUCAGUAUAAUAAUACUCAUAUCAGAUCUUACACAAAAGUUUGAUUUUCCAGAACAAUCUCAAGCCAUUAAGAUUAGUUAAUGAUUUUUCCCUAUUCACCAGCUGCUCACUUCCGCUAAUCUGCUCCUGCCUAAAUAACCCAAGAGGGCCAAGCUGUCUAGGUUCUACUCAAGGUUCCACGAAUUUGUCGUUCACCAUGUUUACUUCCAAACGAGUGUUCUUAUUUUCUCAUUUAUGUUAUGGUGUUUUAUCCCGGCCGCUGUGUUAAUUUCGAAGGACUAGCUUAUAACCUAAUGCAGUAACAUGCCCUAUCCUCAUGAUCGUGCAGUGGAUGGUUAAUUGUUUGUCGAGUGCGAAGCUUUCGGCUAGGUUUGAGUCUAGGCAUAAACACCCCUGAUUUCAUGCUUUGUGCCGCCCGUCUAGAGGAAUGCCUAAUGAUAGUACUGAAUCUAAGACUGAAAAUAUUUAGAAAUAGUGAGAUCUCAGGCGUCUGAACGCGCGGGCUUCGGGCUAUUGUGUAGUUUGAAUUGCACUACAUAUGUCCUCU